Molecule: ribosomal RNA, 428 nt
Filed under: uncultured bacterium
Lineage: Bacteria
Description: bacterial SSU rRNA
Rfam family: Bacterial small subunit ribosomal RNA
Source: RNAcentral
UGGGGAAUAUUGGACAAUGGGCGAAAGCCUGAUCCAGCAAUACCGCGUGUGUGAAGAAGGCCUGAGGGUUGUAAAGCACUUUCAAUAGGGAGGAAUACCUACUGGCUAAUAUCCAGUAGACUGACAUUACCUAUAGAAGAAGCACCGGCUAACUCCGUGCCAGCAGCCGCGGUAAUACGGAGGGUGCAAGCGUUAAUCGGAAUUACUGGGCGUAAAGCGUGCGUAGGUGGUUUGUUAAGUCAGAUGUGAAAGCCCUGGGCUUAACCUGGGAACUGCAUUUGAAACUGGCACACUAGAGUUGAGUAGAGGGGAGUGGAAUUUCAGGUGUAGCGGUGAAAUGCGUAGAUAUCUGAAGGAACACCAGUGGCGAAGGCGACUCCCUGGACUCAGACUGACGCUGAGGUACGAAAGCGUGGGUAGCAAACAGG